Molecule: ribosomal RNA, 502 nt
Filed under: uncultured bacterium
Lineage: Bacteria
Description: bacterial SSU rRNA
Rfam family: Bacterial small subunit ribosomal RNA
Source: RNAcentral
GAUCAUGGCUCAGGAUGAACGCUGGCGGCGUGCUUAACACAUGCAAGUCGAACGAAGCAACUUAUUACAAUCCCUUCGGGGUGACGAUUGUGACUGAGUGGCGGACGGGUGAGUAACGCGUGGGUAACCUGCCUUGUACAGGGGGACAACAGUUGGAAACGACUGCUAAUACCGCAUAAGCGCACAGCUUCGCAUGAAGUAGUGUGAAAAGUUUUUCGGUACAAGAUGGACCCGCGUCUGAUUAGCUAGUUGGUGAGGUAACGGCCCACCAAGGCGACGAUCAGUAGCCGACCUGAGAGGGUGACCGGCCACAUUGGGACUGAGACACGGCCCAAACUCCUACGGGAGGCAGCAGUGGGGAAUAUUGCACAAUGGGCGAAAGCCUGAUGCAAGCGACGCCGCGUGAGCGAAGAAGUAUUUCGGUAUGUAAAGCUCUAUCAGCAGGGAAGAUAAUGACGGUACCUGACUAAGAAGCACCGGCUAAAUACGUGCCAGCCGCCGC